GACGAACGCUGGCGGCGUGCUUAACACAUGCAAGUCGAACGGUGAAGCGCCUUCCUUUUUGGUGGGUGUGGAUGAGUGGCGAACGGGUGAGUAACACGUUAGUAACCUGCCCCCUUCUUCUGGAUAACCGCAUGAAAGUGUUGCUAAUACGGGAUAUUCUGGGUCUGUCGCAUGAUGGGUCUGGGAAAGAUUUUGUUUCGGUUGGGGAUGGGUUCGCGGCCUAUCAGCUUGUUGGUGGGGUGAUGGCCUACCAAGGCGGUGACGGGUAGCCGGCCUGAGGGGAUGGACGGUCACACUGGGACGGAGACACGGCGCAGACUCCGACGGGAGGCAGCAGGGGGGAAUAUUGAACAAGGGGCGGAAGCCUGAUGCAGCGACGCGGCGUGAGGGAUGGAGGCCGUCGGGUUGUGAACCUCUUUCGCCAGUGAAGCAGGCAGGACUCGUUUGUGGGUGGGUUGACGGUAGCUGGAUAAGAAGCGCCGGCUAACUACGUG
This 494-nucleotide ribosomal RNA is filed under the name uncultured bacterium. RNAcentral's name for it is "partial 16S ribosomal RNA". It matches the Rfam family "Bacterial small subunit ribosomal RNA", at positions 28 to 507 of the family's 1533-position model. The record is from RNAcentral.